AUUAUGAAUCAAGGCAACCAAAAUAUUUAAAUCUAUUCUGAUUCCUUGGACACUUGUGCAUACACAAAUUGUUAUUUGCGUCUUGCCGGCCCACAUAAAAUUUCAAAUUGAUGCAAAUUCACCGACAAAGUUGCUAAUCUCUGCGGCAAAAGAGUACGAUGAAACUUAAGUAAAAUUAUUCAGUUUUAUAUAUUUGGUUACCCGGAUGCGCUUUUGACAGAAAGCUAAAGCAUUCCGGUGGCCAUGACAAAAAAAAUCUCUGUACAAGCACUGACAACAUGAAGGGCAGAUAAAUGUUGAGACAACGCCGGAUGAAAUUGAAAAACUUGCUGCAAGUAUAAGCGCAAAGUUUGCCGCGUGCCUCGGGAAGAUGCUGCUCGGACAGCCAACAAAAGGCAUUAGGAAUGGCUGCAUCUUGCCCGACACUUGGCAGCUGGAAAGUCAGAGGGUCAGACGAGCAGAGGAGCAGACAUCCGACAUCAGAGGACCAGGUGCACGUAGACACCAAGCUGUAAAGAUGGACGUGGCCAUGGAUGUGGUGCUCGGUGCGUGCGCCAAAGUUUGUUCGUGUUGGCUGGCCUGGGCAUCGAGUUACUUGCUCCUCGAGGUUCGAUGCGGAGCAAUUAGCAAACUGGUCCUCGAACAGGAUUACCCCGCUCAACUGGAGGGCACUCGAUACGGCUAUUAGGCCUGACAAGCUGUCAUUACGGGCGCAAACGUCCGGAGCAUUCAAAUAUUUGCCAGCGUUUUUCGAGAAAUGUAGGAGAUUAAAAAUCCACACGUGCGGCGCAACCAUCAAAUUAAAUCCGAUUCAAUGCUUAAUUAAACAAGCCUUUUGAUGAUAACCAGUGCUACUCCACCUUCUCGGCGACUAUCGCGGUUGAAGAUGGGAACUGAAAGCUACCGACGCUCUCCAUCGUUUGGCGGAGCUUCUCCAAGCCACUGCAGUUGGCCUCGUAGGCAUCCAGCUGCUGCAUCGCGGUGAACCAGCGCCGCAGACGUGGGAACUGGGACAGGGGAAACAUGAGAUUGACGGUACUCAAUGUGGUCACGAUGGAUAAGUCGGCGAGCGUCAGCUGAAACCGCGGAAACAAAGGUGAAAUUCUAGACUUAAUUGAGCCGCCACAACGACAGGGAAUCGCAAUCAGAUAAGCUGGUCUUUUUUUUUACCUGUGCCCCGGCCAUAAAAUCGCUAUUUUCCAGGUAGCGCUCCAUGAUAAUAUACGCCUCGGUCAGCUUGCGUUCAUGAUGUGCCACAUCGACAUGGGCGAAUCCCUGGCGGACAAUCGCCGAC
Drosophila sechellia is the source of this 1294-nucleotide long non-coding RNA. RefSeq lists it as uncharacterized. The record is from RefSeq and is a predicted model, not a curated record. The transcript has 2 exons. Lineage: Eukaryota; Metazoa; Arthropoda; Insecta; Diptera; Drosophilidae.